CUCUGGGCCCCGUGCAACGUGCGGCCGCGAACCCCGCCAGGUCCGGAAGGAAGCAACGGUAGCGGUUGAGCAGGUGUGCCGCGGGUCUCCCAGGGCCU
RNAcentral lists this signal recognition particle RNA (98 nucleotides) under Candidatus Solibacter sp. RNAcentral describes it as "signal recognition particle sRNA small type". It matches the Rfam family "Bacterial small signal recognition particle RNA". From Rfam's summary of the family: The signal recognition particle (SRP) is a universally conserved ribonucleoprotein involved in the co-translational targeting of proteins to membranes. Archaeal SRP consists of a 7S RNA and homologues of the eukaryotic SRP19 and SRP54 proteins. The record is from RNAcentral. Lineage: Bacteria; Pseudomonadati; Acidobacteriota; Terriglobia; Bryobacterales; Solibacteraceae. RNAcentral also lists the same sequence under 1 other name.